CUCUAAUUCUUCUUGUGCCCUUACACCUGGAUUUGCCCUCAAUUACUGGGAAUUCUGUUCCCCAGCCUGCCCUGAAGGAAGACAGAGGGACUGAGUAUGGAAGCCUGCAGGACUCCAGAGGCUGAUCCCCAGUCUCCACUUUACUUUCUCCUGUCUUCCAGGCUGGCAUUCUUCUUUCCAGAGAGGCAGAAUAAUUGAAUGGGAAAGAAAAAACAGAAGAAGCCCUAGACUAGAUGUCAAGAGGAUUCUAAUCAACUCAUCCACUACCUUGCUGAACAUACUCAUUCAAGAACAAGGUCCUCAGAAGAUCUCCAGGAUUUUCUGCGUCAUCAGAUGCUGAUUCAUUUUCCUUUGCCCUCUCAUAUUUGUUUAGAAAUGUUUGGACUCGUUAAAUAUCCUGAAGGCCAUCUUCCUUUGUGUUAUUAAUAUCUUCCCUGUGAUUUUAUCUGCUUGUGCUGAUAGUACAGUUUUCAAAACCUUUUUAAAACCUUCCAGCUUAGAAUCGAUGUUGUGUAUUUGUUCUUAGGUAAAAAAGUGGUAAAGGACACGUAAUGGGGGCUAAGUGACUUGCCCAGGAUCACAUGGCCAGUACAAUUGUGUAUACAUGAGACAUCUGUAUAUCUAGAUAUAGAUAUGGUAAAUGGUAGGUGAUCUCAGAGGGAUGGUUUUGGAAAUUGGGGAGGAGACGUGUAGUUUUAUAGAAGGUAGGAUCUGGAUAGAGUGUUGAAGGAAGCCAGGGAAGCCUGGACAUAGAGACAAGAAGGGAGAGCAUUCCAGGCCAAGGGGGAAUACCCAGUGAAAAAGUAGAGUCAGAAAAUGGAAGAGCCUAUGUGAAGAACAGCCAGAAGGCCUUGGAUGUCACUGGAUCAGAGAGUACAUAGAGGAG
Long non-coding RNA from Monodelphis domestica (gray short-tailed opossum), 886 nucleotides. The record is from Ensembl. NCBI's taxonomy places the organism in Eukaryota, Metazoa, Chordata, Mammalia, Didelphimorphia, Didelphidae.